GACGAACGCUGGCGGCGUGCUUAACACAUGCAAGUCGAACGGAAAGGCCCUGCUUUUGUGGGGUGCUCAAGUGGCGAACGGGUGAGUAACACGUGAGUAACCUGCCCUUGACUUUGGGAUAACUUCAGGAAACUGGGGCUAAUACCGGAUAGGAGCUCCUGCUGCAUGGUGGGGGUUGGAAAGUUUCGGCGGUUGGGGAUGGACUCGCGGCUUAUCAGCUUGUUGGUGGGGUAGUGGCUUACCAAGGCUUUGACGGGUAGCCGGCCUGAGAGGGUGACCGGCCACAUCGGGACUGAGAUACGGCCCAGACUCCUACGGGAGGCAGCAGUGGGGAAUAUUGCACAAUGGGCGGAAGCCUGAUGCAGCAACGCCGCGUGCGGGAUGACGGCCUUCGGGUUGUAAACCGCUUUCGCCUGUGACGAAGCGUGAGUGACGGUAAUGGGUAAAGAAGCACCGGCUAACUACGUG
This 468-nucleotide ribosomal RNA is filed under the name uncultured bacterium. RNAcentral describes it as "partial 16S ribosomal RNA". It matches the Rfam family "Bacterial small subunit ribosomal RNA", at positions 28 to 507 of the family's 1533-position model. The record is from RNAcentral.